AUGGCGUUCGUGGCAUCGCUGCUCAUCAUCGUGGUGCUUCUGGAUAGGAAGCCCCGCUUGAAAGAGGCCUACGGGUGCAUCGCCAUUGCGCUGAUCAGCCUCAUCGGCGCGUACACCGCUGGCAGCUGCAGGGAGACCGACACCACCAUCUAUGUCAUCAGCCUGGUUGGUGCUGUCCUCGCCUUCAUUAUAUUCCUCCAAGCUGUCAUUUAUUUCAAAGAAAAAGUGCCCAUUGUUGGGAAGUUCAUAGACGACAUAAGGGCUGCCUGCUUCUGGGCCAAAAUCAAAGAUCUCCAUAAAUCCGUGUCAGGGAGGUUGCAACGAGCAGUAUCAAGGACUCCAAGUCUGCGCGCUAUUAAUAGCAGGAAGGCAGCGGACAAGGCUAGCUCCCUUGUUCUGUUGCUCGCCACUCUUGCAGCGGCCAUCACGUACCAAGCAGGGUUGGACCCGCCAGGUGGAGUCUGGCCGGACAACGGCCAAGGGCACAUGGCCGUGGACCCGAUCCUCCUGACGACGAAUCCUGGGCGGUACAAGGCCUUCUUCUACUGCAACUCUGUCGCCUUUGUGGCAUCCUUGGUUGCCAUCAUCCUGGUCCAGAACAAGCUUCUGCUCGAGACCCACGUGCUGGAGGCAGCCAUGGUGUUGGACUUGUUUGGCCUCAUCGGUGCGUACGCCGCCGGGAGCUGCCGGGAUGUAAGCACCUCCAUUUACGCCAUGGCCUUGGCAGGGGGCGUCCUGGUCUACGUGGUGAUCCAUCUCGUCUUCUUCACGUUGGAUCACACAGACACCAUAACCCCGCAGGAAAUUGAGAUAGUGGAAAAGCGGCGCAAGCGGCUGCUCCUAUUCGCGGUCUUGGCCGCGACCGUCACUUACCAAGCCGGGCUGACACCUCCAGGCGGUUUCCGGCUCCAUGACGAUGGGUCUGGUGGGUAUCAAGCAGGUGACCCGGUCCUCUUAAACAACUUUCCCUGCCGCUACACCGCCUUUUUCUACUGCAACUCGGUGAGCUUCAUGCUGUCCAUUACCCUCAUCAUACUGCUGGUGAACCCACAUCUAUACAGGCCAGCCAUACGAAGCUAUGCGCUCGCUAUUUGCACGGCGGUGGGCAUGUUCGGCCUGAUGGGGGCCUAUGCAGCCGGAAGCACACAGCAUCUGAAAACAUCCAUCUACAUCUUCGCACUGGUGGUUGUGGUCCUCUUGGUUAUAGCUGCACUGUUCCUAUUGUUCUUGAAUAAGAACAGAAACACCAGCAGUCAACUGAAGCCAGAGAACGGUGAGGACGAUAAAAAGACGACAUAUGCCAAGCAAAAAUACCUGAUGCUGCUAGGAAUCCUUGUGCCAAGUGUCACCUACCAAGCCGGCCUAGAUCCGCCCGGGGGAGCUUGGCAGCACAGCAGCGAAUGGUACGACGCAGGCAACCCGGUCAUGCAUGACAACAGGAGGCCCCGGUACCUCGCCUUCUUCUACAGCAAUUCUACGUCCUUCGUGGCGUCCAUUGUUGUUAUCAUCAUCUUGCUACUGGAGUGGAAGGACAAGAAGAAAAGGUCGCUCACACUCAGGGUGUUGAGCACGACGAUUGUGCUGGAUUUGCUCGCUCUCCUGGUGGCCUACGCAGCAGGCUCCAGCAGGGGGUGGAAGACGUCUGUGUAUGUCGUUGCACUGAUCAUUGCCGUGCUGGCCUACAUUGCAAUUCAUGUAAUCCUGGCAUUCCUGUGUUCACAUCAUGAUGACAGUUCUCAGCCCCCGGCAAAUCCUCCUCCGAUACAGGAGGAGGCGAACGGUGGGAAUCAGGCAUAG
RNAcentral lists this ribosomal RNA (1797 nucleotides) under Triticum aestivum (bread wheat). Its description in RNAcentral is "partial small subunit ribosomal RNA". Lineage: Eukaryota; Viridiplantae; Streptophyta; Magnoliopsida; Poales; Poaceae. The record is from RNAcentral.